Molecule: long non-coding RNA, 531 nt
Filed under: Ficedula albicollis (Collared flycatcher)
Lineage: Eukaryota; Metazoa; Chordata; Aves; Passeriformes; Muscicapidae
Description: lncRNA (ENSFALG00000026610.1)
Source: RNAcentral
AUGAAGCGCUUGGAGGAGGCAUGUCAGUUCCCGUGCAUUCCUGCUGAAAGCAGAGCUGGGACUGUGAGACUACGCCAACCUUUCCCUUGUGUAAUGUCAAUGUCGGCUAUCACUUUGGCAGAAUCACCCAGCUCAGUGAAGACAGAAAACCCCUCCUUUCCUCCUGUUUUUUCAUCUGCUGGUGGCAUUCCAAGUGACCUUCCCUCAUAAAUAUUGGUUCGAGAUUUGGUGCCACAGAAUUUACACAACCAAGAAGACCACAGGAAACAACAGCCUCAGAAGGGAAACAAAGAGUUUUCAAUGUGUUCAUAUUGCAUUAAUUUUUUUAGAAGAAUACCUAAUACUCACUUAAAUUAAAAUUCACAGCAAAAGAAAGAACUGGAGGUGUUGGUUACCCUGUGCGUUGCCACAACUGGAGACUUACAAAAUAGGAAAGGAUCAUAAAACAUUAUUAUGUAAAAUAAAGAAAUUUGAGCUUUUCUGUAAACAAAUGGAGUCUAAUUUCCUUUUUACGUUACUGUACCUCUUUUU